This 414-nucleotide ribosomal RNA is filed under the name Globigerinella siphonifera. Its description in RNAcentral is "bacterial SSU rRNA". It matches the Rfam family "Eukaryotic small subunit ribosomal RNA", at positions 1185 to 1442 of the family's 1831-position model. Lineage: Eukaryota; Foraminifera; Rotaliida; Globigerinidae. The record is from RNAcentral.
CAGUGGCUUAAUUUGACUCAACGCGGGGAAUCUUACCUCUUUUUGUCAAAUUUAAAGACAAAAGACAGAUCUUUCAUGAUUAUGUGAUGGGUGCAUGGCCGUUCUUAGUUCGUGGAGAGAUCUGUCUGCUUAAUUGCGUUUCAAAUAUAUUUUAUUAUAUAACGCUACAAAGGAGUGGUUCAUUAACAGACAAUCAUAUCUUUGAGCGUCUGGAAUCUACUCUAUUUGGCUCAAUUGAACGCAACGGACGUGAUCGCGAGUCCUUGUUGAACUUCAGUAUAUAUUGACUUUCCCCGUAGGAAGGGAUUGGCAAUAAUUGAAUGUUCGCUUUCUAUAGGUGUGUAUGAUUAAUCUCAAAAUUACAUGUAUUUGUAGUGGCGAGUAUAAUCUAUCCUAUAGGAAAACUCGGGCGAC